This 498-nucleotide ribosomal RNA is filed under the name uncultured Glomeromycotina. Its description in RNAcentral is "partial small subunit ribosomal RNA". It matches the Rfam family "Eukaryotic small subunit ribosomal RNA", at positions 591 to 1092 of the family's 1831-position model. The record is from RNAcentral. Lineage: Eukaryota; Fungi; Glomeromycota.
CCAAUAGCGUAUAUUAAAGUUGUUGCAGUUAAAAAGCUCGUAGUUGAAUUUCGGGACUAGUACGCUGGUCAUGCCUUUGGUAUGUACUGGUGUUACUGGUUCCUACCUUCUGACGAACCGUCAUGUCAUUCAUUUGGUGUGGCGGGGAAUCAGGACUGUUACUUUGAAAAAAUUAGAGUGUUUAAAGCAGGCUCGCGCUUGAAUACAUUAGCAUGGAAUAAUGAAAUAGGACGUUUGAUCCUAUUUUGUUGGUUUCUAGGAUUGACGUAAUGAUUAAUAGGGAUAGUUGGGGGCAUUAGUAUUCAAUUGUCAGAGGUGAAAUUCUUGGAUUUAUUGAAGACUAACUACUGCGAAAGCAUUUGCCAAGGAUGUUUUCAUUAAUCAAGAACGAAAGUUAGGGGGUCGAAGACGAUCAGAUACCGUCGUAGUCUUAACCAUAAACUAUGCCGACUAGUGAUCGGAUGAUGUUAUUUUUAAUGACUCAUUCGGCGCCUUACG